RNAcentral lists this ribosomal RNA (1208 nucleotides) under Gottfriedia acidiceleris. RNAcentral describes it as "bacterial SSU rRNA". It matches the Rfam family "Bacterial small subunit ribosomal RNA", at positions 35 to 1222 of the family's 1533-position model. The record is from RNAcentral. Lineage: Bacteria; Bacillati; Bacillota; Bacilli; Caryophanales; Bacillaceae.
GCCCAUUGCGGGGUUUCUUAUACAUGCAGUCGAGCGGACUAAUGGGAGCUUGCUCCCGUUAGUUAGCGGCGGACGGGUGAGUAACACGUGGGCAACCUACCUGUAAGACUGGGAUAACUUCGGGAAACCGGAGCUAAUACCGGAUGACAUAAAGGAACUCCUGUUCCUUUAUUGAAAGAUGGCUUCGGCUAUCACUUACAGAUGGGCCCGCGGCGCAUUAGCUAGUUGGUGAGGUAACGGCUCACCAAGGCGACGAUGCGUAGCCGACCUGAGAGGGUGAUCGGCCACACUGGGACUGAGACACGGCCCAGACUCCUACGGGAGGCAGCAGUAGGGAAUCUUCCGCAAUGGACGAAAGUCUGACGGAGCAACGCCGCGUGAGCGAUGAAGGCCUUCGGGUCGUAAAGCUCUGUUGUUAGGGAAGAAUAAGUGCUAGUUGAAUAAGCUGGCACCUUGACGGUACCUAACCAGAAAGCCACGGCUAACUACGUGCCAGCAGCCGCGGUAAUACGUAGGUGGCAAGCGUUGUCCGGAAUUAUUGGGCGUAAAGCGCGCGCAGGCGGUUUCUUAAGUCUGAUGUGAAAGCCCCCGGCUCAACCGGGGAGGGUCAUUGGAAACUGGGAAACUUGAGUGCAGAAGAGGAAAGUGGAAUUCCAAGUGUAGCGGUGAAAUGCGUAGAGAUUUGGAGGAACACCAGUGGCGAAGGCGACUUUCUGGUCUGUAACUGACGCUGAGGCGCGAAAGCGUGGGGAGCAAACAGGAUUAGAUACCCUGGUAGUCCACGCUGUAAACGAUGAGUGCUAAGUGUUAGAGGGUUUCCGCCCUUUAGUGCUGAAGUUAACGCAUUAAGCACUCCGCCUGGGGGAGUACGGUCGCAAGACUGAAACUCAAAGGAAUUGACGGGGGCCCGCACAAGUGGUGGAGCAUGUGGUUUAAUUCGAAGCAACGCGAAGAACCCUUACCAGGUCUUGACAUCCUCUGACAACCCUAGAGAUAGGGCUUUCCCUUCGGGGACAGAGUGACAGGUGGUGCAUGGCUUGUCGUCAGCUCGUGUCGUGAGAUGUUGGGUUAAGUCCCGCAACGAGCGCAACCCUUUGAUUUUAGUGCCAGCAUUUAGUUGGGCACCUCCUAAAGUGACUGCGUGACAAACCGGAGGAAGGUGGGAUGACGUCAAUCAUCAUGCCCCGUAUGACCUGCUUAACACACCG